CCCAGGAGGAAGGAGCUCUCUGCUGUGGGAGAGAAGAGAAGCCUGAUGAAGGAGAAGCAUCUGAUAUGCUGUGGGAUGAAGAACCCUGAGUUCUGUCCUUCUGGCUUCCAGUGACUAUUAGGUAAAAGAGAGCAGUUGAGGAAGAAUGUAGAUCACUCGCAAGAAAAAUUGUUCAGAAGCCUCACGGAUGCAGAGUGGCCCCUCUCCCCAACCCAGCCCCACCCCCAGCUAGCGGCUGUCAAUGCCAGCAGCUGGUAGGUGAGGGGUCCCUCAUGAUAAGGAACGGAGGCACAUAGACUUAAGGUACAGUGGUUUGUGUCUAACUUCAGUUACUUAGCACCUGGUUUUUAAAACAUGUAUCUUUAUUUAGGACUUUGUGUUCAAAACAGAACUUUCAUUGAUUUUUUUGAUUGCUGCUGUAAAUGGUCAGAAAUUUUGCAAAUCAGAUCCCAAGUUCUGCAAUCACACACCCUAGUUUGAUUCUCAGAAAUGUCUGGAGAUAUAUAUUUUUUUCUGUUUUUGUUUUUUUUGGUUUGUUUUUUUUUUUUUUUGGUAUCACUGCCAUGCCUCAGAAUUUGAGCCUAGAUGGUUAUAUAUUUUUAAAGUAUUAUGUAACUGAAAACAGUGAA
Long non-coding RNA from Alligator mississippiensis (American alligator), 629 nucleotides. RefSeq lists it as uncharacterized. The record is from RefSeq and is a predicted model, not a curated record. NCBI's taxonomy places the organism in Eukaryota, Metazoa, Chordata, Crocodylia, Alligatoridae. The transcript is spliced from 3 exons.